CGUAGUCGAUGGGAAACAGGUUAAUAUUCCUGUACUUCUGGUUACUGCGAUGGAGGGACGGAGAAGGCUAGGCCAGCUUGGCGUUGGUUGUCCAAGUUUAAGGUGGUAGGCUGAAAUCUUAGGUAAGUCCGGGGUUUCAAGGCCGAGAGCUGAUGACGAGUCGUCUUUUAGAUGACGAAGUGGUUGAUGCCAUGCUUCCAAGAAAAGCUUCUAAGCUUCAGGUAACCAGGAACCGUACCCCAAACCGACACAGGUGGUCGGGUAGAGAAUACCAAGGCGCUUGAGAGAACUCGGGUGAAGGAACUAGGCAAAAUGGCACCGUAACUUCGGGAGAAGGUGCGCCGGCUAGGGUGAAGGAUUUACUCCGUAAGCUCUGGCUGGUCGAAGAUACCAGGCCGCUGCGACUGUUUAUUAAAAACACAGCACUCUGCAAACACGAAAGUGGACGUAUAGGGUGUGACGCCUGCCCGGUGCCGGAAGGUUAAUUGAUGGGGUUAGCGCAAGCGAAGCUCUUGAUCGAAGCCCCGGUAAACGGCGGCCGUAACUAUAACGGUCCUAAGGUAGCGAAAUUCCUUGUCGGGUAAGUUCCGACCUGCACGAAUGGCGUAACGAUGGCGGCGCUGUCUCCACCCGAGACUCAGUGAAAUUGAAAUCGCUGUGAAGAUGUAGUGUAUCCGCGGCUAGACGGAAAGACCCCGUGAACCUUUACUGUAGCUUUGCACUGGACUUUGAGCCUGCUUGUGUAGGAUAGGUGGGAGGCUUUGAAGCGUGGACGCCAGUUCGCGUGGAGCCAUCCUUGAAAUACCACCCUGGCAUGCUUGAGGUUCUAACUCUGGUCCGUAAUCCGGAUCGAGGACAGUGUAUGGUGGGCAGUUUGACUGGGGCGGUCUCCUCCUAAAGAGUAACGGAGGAGUACGAAGGUGCGCUCAGACCGGUCGGAAAUCGGUCGCAGAGUAUAAAGGCAAAAGCGCGCUUGACUGCGAGACAGACACGUCGAGCAGGUACGAAAGUAGGUCUUAGUGAUCCGGUGGUUCUGUAUGGAAGGGCCAUCGCUCAACGGAUAAAAGGUACUCCGGGGAUAACAGGCUGAUACCGCCCAAGAGUUCAUAUCGACGGCGGUGUUUGGCACCUCGAUGUCGGCUCAUCACAUCCUGGGGCUGAAGCCGGUCCCAAGGGUAUGGCUGUUCGCCAUUUAAAGUGGUACGCGAGCUGGGUUUAGAACGUCGUGAGACAGUUCGGUCCCUAUCUGCCGUGGACGUUUGAGAUUUGAGAGGGGCUGCUCCUAGUACGAGAGGACCGGAGUGGACGAACCUCUGGUGUUCCGGUUGUCACGCCAGUGGCAUUGCCGGGUAGCUAUGUUCGGAAAAGAUAACCGCUGAAAGCAUCUAAGCGGGAAACUUGCCUCAAGAUGAGAUCUCACUGGGAACUUGAUUCCCCUGAAGGGCCGUCGAAGACUACGACGUUGAUAGGCUGGGUGUGUAAGCGUUGUGAGGCGUUGAGCUAACCAGUACUAAUUGCCCGUGAGGCUUGACC
RNAcentral lists this ribosomal RNA (1533 nucleotides) under metagenome. Its description in RNAcentral is "bacterial LSU rRNA". It matches the Rfam family "Bacterial large subunit ribosomal RNA", at positions 1410 to 2925 of the family's 2925-position model. The record is from RNAcentral.